This 69-nucleotide transfer RNA is filed under the name Pseudohelice subquadrata. RNAcentral's name for it is "tRNA-His". Lineage: Eukaryota; Metazoa; Arthropoda; Malacostraca; Decapoda; Varunidae. The record is from RNAcentral.
ACUUAAAUAGUUUAAGACAACAAAACGUUAGCUUGUGGUGCUCAAGAUGUGAAAGUUUCACUUUAAGUA